ACCUGGCUGGCUCAGUCAGAAGAGCAUGAGACUCUUAAUCUCUGGGGUCAUGAGUUCGAGCCCCAUGUUGGGUG
RNAcentral lists this transfer RNA (74 nucleotides) under Nyctereutes procyonoides (raccoon dog). It matches the Rfam family "tRNA". From Rfam's summary of the family: Transfer RNA (tRNA) molecules are approximately 80 nucleotides in length. Their secondary structure includes four short double-helical elements and three loops (D, anti-codon, and T loops). The record is from Rfam by way of RNAcentral. Lineage: Eukaryota; Metazoa; Chordata; Mammalia; Carnivora; Canidae.